This 349-nucleotide unclassified non-coding RNA is filed under the name soil metagenome. RNAcentral's name for it is "partial contains 5.8S ribosomal RNA, internal transcribed spacer 2, and large subunit ribosomal RNA". The stretch from base 1 to 120 matches the Rfam family "5.8S ribosomal RNA", at positions 35 to 154 of the family's 154-position model. The record is from RNAcentral.
GAUGAAGAACGUAGCGAAAUGCGAUAAGUAAUGUGAAUUGCAGAAUUCAGUGAAUCAUCGAAUCUUUGAACGCACAUUGCGCCCGCCAGUAUUCUGGCGGGCAUGCCUGUCUGAGCGUCAUUUCAACCCUCAGCCCCCGCUCGCGGGGCGCUGGCGUUGGGGAUCGGCCGUCCUCGCGGCGGCCGGCCCCGAAACACAGUGGCGGUCUCGCUGUAGCUUCCUCUGCGUAGUAGCACACCUCGCACUGGGAAACAGCGCGGCCACGCCGUUAAACCCCCAACUUCUGAACGUUUGACCUCGGAUCAGGUAGGAAUACCCGCUGAACUUAAGCAUAUCAAUAAGCGGAGGA